CCUACGGGAGGCAGCAGUGAGGGAUAUUGGUCAAUGGGGGGAACCCUGAACCAGCAACGCCGCGUGAGGGAAGAAGGUUCUCGGCUUGUCAACCCCUGUCCUCUGUGAAGAUAAUGACGGUAGCAGAGGAGGAAGCUCCGGCUAACUACGUGCCAGCAGCCGCGGUAAUACGUAGGGAGCAAGCGUUGUCCGGAUUUACUGGGUGUAAAGGGUGCGUAGGCGGCCCUGCAAGUCAGCAGUUAAAUCCAUGGGCUUAACCCGUGAACUGCUUUUGAAACUGGGGGGCUUGAGUGCAGGAGAGGCAGGCGGAAUGCCCGGUGUAGCGGUGAAAUGCGUAGAGAUCGGGAGGAACACCAGUGGCGAAGGCGGCCUGCUGGGCUGUAACUGACGCUGAGGCACGAAAGCGUGGGGAGCGAACAGGAUUAGAUACCCGUGUAGUC
RNAcentral lists this ribosomal RNA (440 nucleotides) under uncultured bacterium. Its description in RNAcentral is "partial 16S ribosomal RNA". It matches the Rfam family "Bacterial small subunit ribosomal RNA", at positions 338 to 795 of the family's 1533-position model. The record is from RNAcentral.